GCCCUUUUAGCUCAGUGGUAGAGCGUCGCACUCGUACCUUUGACUCUGCUGCGGAUCAUGCGAAGGUCCACGGUUCAAUCCCGUGAGGGGGCA
This 93-nucleotide transfer RNA is filed under the name Colletotrichum chlorophyti. It matches the Rfam family "tRNA". From Rfam's summary of the family: Transfer RNA (tRNA) molecules are approximately 80 nucleotides in length. Their secondary structure includes four short double-helical elements and three loops (D, anti-codon, and T loops). The record is from Rfam by way of RNAcentral. Lineage: Eukaryota; Fungi; Ascomycota; Sordariomycetes; Glomerellales; Glomerellaceae.